ACGUUCGCGGACAGUAACGAACACAGGCGUCUAUACAGCUAAAAGUGUUACGACAGUACGUCUGUCGACGUAUCAGUUUUUACUUGCAUAAAAUCAGUACGCCACACGCCGUGCGAUUUUUCAUACUAUCAUAAAGAACGGCAUGUUGUACUGUCUUGACAGGUAUAAUUACGACUUUUGUACUGUCACUGUAUUAUUUACAAAAAUUCGUCAAAGGAAGGUACUUCCACGCACACAUUCAUAUUUUUAUACCCCUCUCCCGCGAACACUACGCCCGUGGGCGCCAUGUUUGCAUACGGUUAGUCGAGUACUGCGCCGCUGCGGUGAUCCCGCGUGUCGCUGCAUGUUUUCGCGCGCAAUUGUUAUUUAGAAAAUGGCGUCUCGAGACUCGUUCGAAAAAGAACAAAAACGUCUUCAAGACCUGUUUGAUGCAGCGUCUACCCCUAAAUCGAGUCAAGACCCAUUUGGGUGACUAUGAAUCUGAUGCUGAGUGCUUACGACGUUUACGCCUAUAUCCGUUCUGUCAUAUCAUAUGGUUUUUUAACCAUGUGUUGUUACACUACGCCCCUGGGCAAUGUAUGAAAAAAAGUAGUGUCUCAUUAGCUUCAACCUGUAAGAUUGCACUGUCCGCGAACGUGUUAA
This is a long non-coding RNA of Colias croceus (clouded yellow), 642 nucleotides long. RefSeq lists it as uncharacterized. Lineage: Eukaryota; Metazoa; Arthropoda; Insecta; Lepidoptera; Pieridae. The record is from RefSeq and is a predicted model, not a curated record. The transcript has 2 exons.